RNAcentral lists this ribosomal RNA (481 nucleotides) under uncultured Nocardia sp. RNAcentral's name for it is "partial 16S ribosomal RNA". Lineage: Bacteria; Bacillati; Actinomycetota; Actinomycetes; Mycobacteriales; Nocardiaceae. The record is from RNAcentral.
CACGUAGUUGGCCGGUGCUUCUUCUACAGGUACCGCCACUUGCGCUUCGUCCCUGUCGAAAGAGGUUUACAACCCGAAGGCCGUCAUCCCUCACGCGGCGUCGCUGCAUCAGGCUUUCGCCCAUUGUGCAAUAUUCCCCACUGCUGCCUCCCGUAGGAGUCUGGGCCGUGUCUCAGUCCCAGUGUGGCCGGUCGCCCUCUCAGGCCGGCUACCCGUCGUCGCCUUGGUAGGCCAUUACCCCACAACAAGCUGAUAGGCCGCGGGCCCAUCCUGUACCGAUAAAUCUUUCCACCCACGGUCAUGCAACCGAAGGUCAUAUCCGGUAUUAGACCCAGUUUCCCAGGCUUAUCCCGAAGUACAGGGCAGAUCACCCACGUGUUACUCACCCGUUCGCCGCUCGUGUACCCCGAAGGGCCUUACCGCUCGACUUGCAUGUGUUAAGCACGCCGCCAGCGUUCGUCCUGAGCCAGGAUCAAACUCU